This 253-nucleotide ribosomal RNA is filed under the name uncultured bacterium. Its description in RNAcentral is "partial 16S ribosomal RNA". It matches the Rfam family "Bacterial small subunit ribosomal RNA", at positions 524 to 776 of the family's 1533-position model. The record is from RNAcentral.
UACGUAGGGUGCAAGCGUUAAUCGGAAUUACUGGGCGUAAAGCGUGCGCAGGCGGUUAUGCAAGACAGAUGUGAAAUCCCCGGGCUUAACCUGGGAACUGCGCUUCUAACUGGCAGGCUUGAGUGUGGCAGAGGGGGGUGGAAUUCCACGUGUAGCAGUGAAAUGCGUAGAGAUGUGGAGGAACACCGAUGGCGAAGGCAGCCCCCUGGGCUAACACUGACGCUCAUGCACGAAAGCGUGGGGAGCAAACAGG